UAAUAUUGCCAUAUCAUUCUGCAACUUAAGUCUUACUCACUGAAGCUAAGCAGGGCUGAGCCUGGUCAGUACCUGAGUGGGAGACCACAUGGGAAAACUAGGUUGCUGUUGGAA
RNAcentral lists this ribosomal RNA (114 nucleotides) under Danio rerio (zebrafish). The record is from RNAcentral. Lineage: Eukaryota; Metazoa; Chordata; Actinopteri; Cypriniformes; Danionidae.